Molecule: ribosomal RNA, 498 nt
Filed under: uncultured bacterium
Lineage: Bacteria
Description: partial 16S ribosomal RNA
Rfam family: Bacterial small subunit ribosomal RNA
Source: RNAcentral
AUUGAACGCUGGCGGCAUGCUUUACACAUGCAAGUCGAACGGUAACAGGCCGCAAGGUGCUGACGAGUGGCGAACGGGUGAGUAAUGCAUCGGAACGUGCCCAGUCGUGGGGGAUAACGCAGCGAAAGCUGCGCUAAUACCGCAUACGAUCUGCGGAUGAAAGCGGGGGACCUUCGGGCCUCGCGCGAUUGGAGCGGCCGAUGUCAGAUUAGGUAGUUGGUGGGGUAAAGGCCCACCAAGCCGACGAUCUGUAGCUGGUCUGAGAGGACGACCAGCCACAGUGGGACUGAGACACGGCCCAGACUCCUACGGGAGGCAGCAGUGGGGAAUUUUGGACAAUGGGCGCAAGCCUGAUCCAGCAAUGCCGCGUGCAGGAAGAAGGCCUUCGGGUUGUAGACUGCUUUUGUACGGAACGAAACGGCUCUGGUUAAUACCCGGGGCUAAUGACGGUACCGUAAGAAUAAGCACCGGCUAACUACGUGCCAGCCGCCGCCGUAA